This is a long non-coding RNA of Rhodamnia argentea, 190 nucleotides long. RefSeq lists it as uncharacterized. Lineage: Eukaryota; Viridiplantae; Streptophyta; Magnoliopsida; Myrtales; Myrtaceae. The record is from RefSeq and is a predicted model, not a curated record. The transcript is spliced from 2 exons.
CAUGCCAACUCCACUAUGCUUUCUAUGCUUAUCUGCUAUCUUUCCUCCAUGAUUUGUCCUUAGGGCAGAGACAAUUAUUUGAUUUGCACAUUGUUCAUGACUAAUCUAUUACCACCAGCAGAGAAGUUCAGGACAUUUGGUUAAAUUAUUUCCACAAAGAUAACUCGCUCUAAAUCUUGAAACUGCCAAA